RNAcentral lists this ribosomal RNA (415 nucleotides) under uncultured crenarchaeote. Its description in RNAcentral is "partial 16S ribosomal RNA". It matches the Rfam family "Archaeal small subunit ribosomal RNA", at positions 330 to 747 of the family's 1478-position model. Lineage: Archaea; Thermoproteati; Thermoproteota. The record is from RNAcentral.
GCGCAGCAGUCGCGAAAACUCCGCAAUACGCGAAAGCGUGACGGGGCCAUCCCGAGUGCCGUCCGCUGAGGAUGGCUUUUCCCUAGUGUAGAUAGCUGGGGGAAUAAGGAGAGGGCAAGUCUGGUGUCAGCCGCCGCGGUAAUACCAGCUCUCCGAGUGGUGGGGAUGUUUAUUGGGCCUGAAGCAUCCGUAGCUGGCUGGGCAAGUUCUCCGUUAAAUCCAGCGAUUUAAUCGUUGGACUGCGGGGGAUACUGUUCGGCUAGGGGGCGGGAGAGGCCGACGGUAUUCUCGGGGUAGGGGUGAAAUCCUAUAAUCCCGGGAAGACCACCAGUGGCGAAGGCUGUCGGCUAGAACGCGCCCGACGGUGAGGGAUGAAAGCUGGGGGAGCGAACCGGAUUAGAUACCCGGGUAGUCC